Molecule: transfer RNA, 83 nt
Filed under: Leptolyngbya sp. FACHB-1624
Lineage: Bacteria; Bacillati; Cyanobacteriota; Cyanophyceae; Leptolyngbyales; Leptolyngbyaceae
Also listed under: 2 other names
Description: tRNA-Ser
Rfam family: tRNA
About the family: Transfer RNA (tRNA) molecules are approximately 80 nucleotides in length. Their secondary structure includes four short double-helical elements and three loops (D, anti-codon, and T loops). Further hydrogen bonds mediate the characteristic L-shaped molecular structure. tRNAs have two regions of fundamental functional importance: the anti-codon, which is responsible for specific mRNA codon recognition, and the 3' end, to which the tRNAs corresponding amino acid is attached (by aminoacyl-tRNA synthetases). tRNAs cope with the degeneracy of the genetic code in two manners: having more than one tRNA (with a specific anti-codon) for a particular amino acid; and 'wobble' base-pairing, i.e. permitting non-standard base-pairing at the 3rd anti-codon position.
Source: RNAcentral
GGAGAGUAUCGCUAAAUGGUCGGCAAUCGGUCUUGAAAACCGAGACUGGGUAAAACCUGGGGGUUCGAUUCCUCUACUCUCCG